This 239-nucleotide unclassified non-coding RNA is filed under the name Hevea brasiliensis (rubber tree). Lineage: Eukaryota; Viridiplantae; Streptophyta; Magnoliopsida; Malpighiales; Euphorbiaceae. The record is from RNAcentral.
GUCACAGGUGACGUGAAACCAAGUGCAUGGAUCCACCAAGGUAGGAUCCCAGCUUUCCAGAACAAGUCCUGGGUCCUUCACUGCUUUUCUCAACGCAUGCAGAGCAUCCCCUUCUACGUUUGCAUUUGUAGGUGCUACAAUGAUUGAUAGAAGAACAAGAAGUUGAAACAGGGUACAACUAGCCAUUUGAGAACUUCAAAAGACGGUAAGCUCAGUAGUGAGAGAGAGAGAGAGAGAGA